AAUGGUGUGAAAGUGCUUCCUUCAGCCCACUCAUGGGUGGGAUUAAGGGGUUGAAUUAGCUGCCGACUCAUUCAUUCAAGCACCCAGUAAAAAAAGGGAUUAUUAUUUUUGUUACUGUGAUUGUGUGAAUGAUGCGGGAGAUUAUUUUCCAUUCCUCCCUCGCUGUGCUUGGACUGAAGGGAGCUCCUUCUUUCAAUUUA
Molecule: microRNA precursor, 200 nt
Organism: Cephalotus follicularis
Lineage: Eukaryota; Viridiplantae; Streptophyta; Magnoliopsida; Oxalidales; Cephalotaceae
Rfam family: MIR159 microRNA precursor family
Source: Rfam